Molecule: unclassified non-coding RNA, 203 nt
Filed under: air metagenome
Description: partial contains small subunit ribosomal RNA, internal transcribed spacer 1, and 5.8S ribosomal RNA
Rfam family: Eukaryotic small subunit ribosomal RNA (bases 1-46)
Source: RNAcentral
AAGUCGUAACAAGGUUUCCGUAGGUGAACCUGCGGAAGGAUCAUUAGAGAUUGGCCUAACGGCCGUGUCUUCAUCCACACACACCGUGAACCGUUCUGGGAGCUCCUCUGUGGGCUGCCGGACAACACACCACAAACGAGAUGUAAUGAAUGUCAAAUUGUCGUAACAAAACAAAACUUUCAACAACGGAUCUCUUGGCUCUC